GCCUUCGUGGUGUAAUGGCUAGCACAUUCGGCGCGUAUUCGAGAGAUCCGAGGUUCGAGUCCCGGCGAGGACA
RNAcentral lists this transfer RNA (73 nucleotides) under Stegodyphus mimosarum. It matches the Rfam family "tRNA". Rfam says of the family: Transfer RNA (tRNA) molecules are approximately 80 nucleotides in length. Their secondary structure includes four short double-helical elements and three loops (D, anti-codon, and T loops). Lineage: Eukaryota; Metazoa; Arthropoda; Arachnida; Araneae; Eresidae. The record is from Rfam by way of RNAcentral.